CGGGGUGACUAGUGACAGAGUGAGAGAGAGGGUGACACAGUGACAGAGUGAGGGAGGGGGUGACUAGUGACAGAGUGAGGGAGGUGGUGACUGUCACUAGUCACCCCCUUCCCUCCCUCUGUCACUAGUCACCCCUUCCUCACUUUGUCACUAGUCACCCCUUCCCUCCCUAACUCUGUCACUAGUCACCACUUCCCUCCCUCACUCUGUCACUAGUCACCCCC
Molecule: non-coding RNA, 224 nt
Organism: Pelobates cultripes (western spadefoot toad)
Lineage: Eukaryota; Metazoa; Chordata; Amphibia; Anura; Pelobatidae
Source: the annotation of a GenBank genome assembly